GGGGGGAGGCCGGAUCCUGGGCUGUGUCCCUGCGCCCUGUGCUCCGGAGCCUGCGCUGUUGGAUUCGCGCUCCCGUCCACGCAGCCCCCU
Molecule: microRNA precursor, 90 nt
Filed under: Canis lupus familiaris (dog)
Lineage: Eukaryota; Metazoa; Chordata; Mammalia; Carnivora; Canidae
Description: mir-8799 microRNA precursor family
Rfam family: mir-8799 microRNA precursor family
Source: Rfam by way of RNAcentral